RNAcentral lists this long non-coding RNA (540 nucleotides) under Androctonus crassicauda. The record is from RNAcentral. Lineage: Eukaryota; Metazoa; Arthropoda; Arachnida; Scorpiones; Buthidae.
UGUGAAUAUUAUAAUAUGAUUUUAAAUUGUAUAAAAACUAUUUACUCGAAUUAUGUUUUAUUUUUGCUCAUAAAAUAUUGAAUUUCUAAACUUAAAUUAUAAAUAAAAAAAUCAUUAUUUUUUCUUAUCUGAAGGAUGAUUUUAAAUUUUUAUAAAAUUUUUGACAUCAUUGGAAAUUAUAAUAUUUUAUUAUGUAUAUAGAACACAAUAUAUAUUUUUAAAAUGUUAUUAAAAUCGUUGGCAAGUGAUGUAGAUUAUUGAUGUUGAUAUCACGAAACGAUAAAAUAAAAAGUCCUACAGUAUUAAGCAUCUUCGGUUCUGCAACACAACUGCUGUCUUCGUCGGUGGACAUUAUUACGUUGAGAGAAUCAUCACCAUCAAUCCUUGCUAUGUAUCCAAGCUGUCAACAUCUUAUAAAGAAUCGACCGUUAAAUGUAGAACAAGUUGGGAUCCAGGAGGAUUCCGUUAUUAAAGAUGCCGAUAUUAUUUGUGACCUUCCCGUCAAAUUCCCCAAGUCCAUCACUAUCACUACCAGUACCC